RNAcentral lists this ribosomal RNA (511 nucleotides) under uncultured bacterium. RNAcentral describes it as "bacterial SSU rRNA". It matches the Rfam family "Bacterial small subunit ribosomal RNA", at positions 501 to 1011 of the family's 1533-position model. The record is from RNAcentral.
CUACGUGCCAGCAGCCGCGGUAAUACAUAUGGGGCGAGCGUUAUCCGGAUUUAUUGGGUGUAAAGGGUGCGUAGGCGGGAUAGCAAGUCAGUCUGUGAAAUCCCACGGCUCAACCGUGGAACUGCAACUGAAACUGUUAUUCUUGAGUAUCGGAGGGGAAAGUGGAAUUCCUAGUGUAGCGGUGAAAUGCGUAGAUAUUAGGAGGAACACCGGUGGCGAAGGCGACUUUCUGGACGAUAACUGACGCUGAGGCACGAAAGUGUGGGUAGCAAACAGGAUUAGAUACCCUGGUAGUCCACACCGUAAACGAUGGAUACUAGGGGUUGGCCAGGAAAUGGUCAGUCCCGCAGUUAACGCAAUAAGUAUCCCACCUGGGGAGUACGACCGCAAGGUUAAAACUCAAAGGAAUUGACGGGGGCCCGCACAAGCAGUGGAGUAUGUGGUUUAAUUCGAAGAAACGCGAAGAACCUUACCAGGGCUUGACAUAUACAGGAAUAUAUAAGAGAUUAUA